AUAACGACUCUCGGCAACGGAUAUCUAGGCUCUCGCAUCGAUGAAGAACGUAGCGAAAUGCGAUACUUGGUGUGAACUGCAGAAUCCCGUGAACCAUCGAGUUUUUGAACGCAAGUUGCGCCCGAAGCCAUUUGGCCGAGGGCACGUCUGCCUGGGCGUCACGC
Molecule: ribosomal RNA, 164 nt
Filed under: Scrophularia villosa
Lineage: Eukaryota; Viridiplantae; Streptophyta; Magnoliopsida; Lamiales; Scrophulariaceae
Description: 5.8S ribosomal RNA
Rfam family: 5.8S ribosomal RNA
About the family: 5.8S ribosomal RNA (5.8S rRNA) is a component of the large subunit of the eukaryotic ribosome. It is transcribed by RNA polymerase I as part of the 45S precursor that also contains 18S and 28S rRNA.
Source: RNAcentral